RNAcentral lists this ribosomal RNA (109 nucleotides) under Caerostris extrusa. Lineage: Eukaryota; Metazoa; Arthropoda; Arachnida; Araneae; Araneidae. The record is from RNAcentral.
AACGGCCAUACCCUGGAUAUACCGGUUCUCGUUAGAUCACCGAAGUCAAGCAUCAUUGGGCGCGGUCAGUACUUGGGUGGAUGAUCACCUGGAAACACCGCGUGCCGUU